GGGAAGGGUCCUCCUCUCCUGACGUGCGCCUCCCGCUCACAGCUCGGCGCUGCUGCCAUCCCAGGCCCUGGACAGCGCGACUUCGACGCUCGUCCGUCAGCACUGAAACCCAAGCGCGGCACCCGCGCGGCGCCCCUCACCCUUCCUGAUGUCUGCUCCAGGCAUGCCCUCCGCAGCUCCCGUGGCUACGACAUCCCCAUGGACCAGGCUUCUCAGCAAACUGUUUCUGAAAACAACACCUUAUUUGCACAGGCAAGUAGCAAAUAAUGAAAAUUAAAUUAACAAGAACUAUA
Molecule: non-coding RNA, 293 nt
Organism: Lonchura striata (white-rumped munia)
Lineage: Eukaryota; Metazoa; Chordata; Aves; Passeriformes; Estrildidae
Source: RefSeq, a predicted model, not a curated record